Molecule: long non-coding RNA, 7920 nt
Organism: Prinia subflava (tawny-flanked prinia)
Lineage: Eukaryota; Metazoa; Chordata; Aves; Passeriformes; Cisticolidae
Exons: 6
Source: RefSeq, a predicted model, not a curated record
GGGACUGUUGUGGCUGCCUGUGUCCUGGUAACAAGAUCAGUGCUCAAGGGCCACUUAUGUGGGUGCUGCCUGGCUCCAGCGAAAGUCCUGCUCUUUGGGCAGCUGCAUCAGACCACACCACGCUUCAGAACUGAAAAUUUGCAAAGGACACAAAUCAAAGCAAGACAGUAAAAACCAAGAAAAGGAUGAGUAGCUAGGAUGCUGUUCCUGUUCUGCGGAUUUACAUCAUCUUAUGUUCAAUCCUGAUUGCAUCAACAUCUAGAACCAAGAUGUCUAAAAAAAUGGAUGCAGCCUUUUCCUUGGAAAAGUAUGUCAGUGUCUGAGAUGGUUACCCAAAAGAGAAGAAAUAUAUUCUUUAGCAUGCUGGAAAAUAAAUUUUUUCCUUCAGAGGAACACAGAUGGUGUAUGUGUUCUGAGAAGAAGCAUGUCGUACUGCCUCUCCCGUAAAUUUGUUCUUGUGGUUUGGUCAUGGGAAAUUCUUAUACGUUUCAUCUAGGAGAGUGCUGUUUUUGUCAUAUAAUCAAGAAAAGAAGAGUGUUGAUAAUAAUAACAACAGAAAGCUUUUAGAAAGAGAAAACUACUUAAUGAACAAUGCAGCCCACAUGAACAUUCAAUUCUAGACACUAUACAGCAGUGAGGAAGCAAGAGAAUGACCUCUUCCAAAACUCAGUGUUAACUACAGGAGACUUCUGGGUUCCAUCCUGGAUUCUGUGGUAGCUCCUUGUGCAAGUAUUAGCAGUAGAGGAACCUGAAAUCCCUCAAGGAUAGUGAGAGGAGAGAUAACUGGUAGAGAAGAGCAGGAGUCAUGACUCUGGAAGGAAGCCCUCUCUAAAUAUCCCAGGAGCGGGACUGAGGCAAAAUUCCAGCACAGGAAGUUGCAAACAGCUGAAAAAAACAGAAUCAAAACAGGAGCUACUGCCACACUAAUUAAACAGAACUUGUUCUUAGAAACUGAGUCUUCUGCAAAAGGGGAAGAACUAAUUCAGGGCCUCAUUCCCCACAACACCUUUUAGUUUUCAGGGAACUAUAUUUUUAAAUAUGGUCAAAAAUAAUGCCACAUUUUUUACUAUACUCUGCUUGCCAAACAUGAGUCCUGUGGAAACUGCCAAAUAUUAACUUUAAAUUUAUAAGCUUAGGCUCCUUCCAAAGGUUGUCAUACUCUCAGAAGCAAGGAUGGGCUGUGAAUUGUCCAGCAUGGGAAGAGUUACCAUUCUUCUACUAAAAUUUUUAGAAGAAGAACAAUUCUAAGGAACAUGUCAUGAAGCUGGAGUAUUGCGUUACUACCUUUUGGGAAGAAAACAUGUUCCCAUUUCAAUUGUGAAUUCUUUUAAAGAAGCAACAAGUUCACAGCAAUAUUUUCUUUUUCCAUCUCUUAUGUUGUUACUUACAUGAGAAAAAAAGAUAAUAGCACAAUAACUCAAGAGAGCCUAUCAAACAAAUCAGAAAUGUAUAAACUUGCCAAUAGAACAUCUUCUAUUUUAAUAGAAAAUUAAAUUUAAAAGUGUAGGUGAGAUUUUUUAAAUUUUUCUCUCCCUGUCUUUCUCUUUUCUCUGCUGUGAUUUACUACUAUGCACAUUUACAUCUAAUUACUGAAUACUCCUGCUGGUGUUAGUUAUUUUAAUAGAGAACAUUGGUUUAUUUUACCUAAUUUCUUUUUAAAAAAAUUAUUAUUUUUGUGCUGCUUCUGGUGACUGACAAGACACAUCACUCAGCACAAAGAAAAUAAAGAGAGCUAGGAGCAAGAAAGGUAAUGAAGAGAAAACUAGCACAAGUUUUUUUGGUUGUUUUUGGUUUUGUUUAUGUUUUUGUUUUUGUUGGUUUUGUUUUGGUUUGGUUGUUGUUGUUGUGUUUUGGGUUUUGGUUUUUUUUUGGUGGCUAUGAACAUAAACUCUAUUUGCUUGAUAAUAAAAAGACCAUACUCAUAAAAAAUUCAGGGAAAAUAUUUUCAAAUUAAAAGUUCCACACCAAGCCUGGACAAGAGAGAACAUUAUAUUUGAGGUUUGCACUCAGAAAUUGCAACAGUAUUUGGGUCUGUUUAUCUCCAGAUAAUGUUUUGAAUAUUCUAUUAUGGAUUGGGCUCAUAUAUUUGAAAAACUGAAACUUUAAUGUCAUUAUCUAUUAACCUGAAUUCAAGCACUCACUUGGUCUCCCUUAUUUGUUCUGAUCCUCUGAUCAGUACAACUCACUAAGGUUUUCACAUCCCAUUUCUAAUAAAUUGUGCAAAUCUGCUUUCCCUGGUCAAGACACAAAGAUUUUCUCUCUGAGAACCCAACUUUGAAAUAUAUAUUCAGUUCACAGUAGAGAGAACUAUAUGCCAUCCUACAAUGCCUAAGGAAACUGCUAAGAACACAGGAUCAGAUGCUGUUGCUAAUAAUAUUUUCAUGAUACAGAAGAAAUUAAUUACAUACAUUUUGGAUCUUUCAUGCUUUUGCUCAAAUUAUUGCAAUUGCUAGCUGAAUUAGGGCUUAUAUGUGUAUGUAUUCGUGUUUAUUUUCAAGGAAGACUAGGUGAACAUACACUUUGGGAAUUCUAGACAAGUGAGAUUUAAUGUCUUAGCUUGUUUUUCUGAAUCAAAAGACAUUUUGCUGGAUUGGAGGAGACAAUAUGAGAAUAGAAUUAAAGGACUUUUCAUAUCUAUUCCUGUUAGUGCACAGGAUGUUACAAGGAUUCCAGGAUGCAGCUGCUGAAAGCAAGGUAGCUAUGUUGCCUAAAUUCUGCUCAUGUUUGGAGUGACGUUGACAUUGAAAAUGAGUUCUAACUGCAGAUAGAGCUACAGUACCCCUCUCAUAUUUCUUACCACGCCUCUAGUUAGAGAAAGAAUAGAUUAGUCCUUGCUGCUGCUCAAAUACCACAGGAACUACAAUUGAAGACAAAUCCCUUUAUCAGACUUCUCUGUUCUAGGAUAUUUGGAAUGACAAUGAAUGUUAGGCAAGCACACAUGCCACUAACUUCACAUAGUUAGAUGCAGUGAAAAGAGCAUAUUGCAUUACAGUAGGUAUGAGGCAUUAGUAAGAAUGAUUUAGCCCUUUAAGAUGUUUUGCACUUUUUCAUUGCCGAAAAGAUAUACAGAAGAUUGAUCACUCAGUGGUCCAACUGUGCUGGAUUGUUUAAUUUUGGAAAAUUUAUGUCUUGUGUAUGUCUGCCUUUUUCUCACUACGUGAGAUGAUGGUCAGAAAAGACUAAAGACAAAAGUCUUUAAGAAUAUGCCUUGACUCAAUGAUUUAGAGGUAUACAACAUUUAGUAGUUGUACUCUAAUGCUGCAGAAAAUGUCAGGGUUUUUUCCUGACUUCUUUCGGAGAAGAGUUACACUUUGGAAACAAUAGAUUUAGAGUGCCUUAGGAAGUGUUUUUGGUGACAGAAGGAUGAACAACAGAGAAUUAUAAUGCUUUUAUGUUUCAUGAAAAAAACGUAAAUUUUUAUUUGUUUUGUAGUAAAGCUCAUAUAUUAGACUUUAUUUUUUAGCUCUAAAGACUGGGUCUAUGGCAGUUUCUAACGGCACUACAUCAUUUAUAUUGGCUACUUUUAUAAACUAUUGAAAAGUUUUGUUUAAGGAAGAUUUCCUUUUGCAUUGGUGAAGUAAGAUUUCAGUAUUCUUCUCCCAGCUUUUCUCUGCUGUCUCCUGAGAUGGAUAAUGAAGUUCUUCAGACCUAAAUCUAGUUACUAAUAUGCUCUUUACUUUUCAAAUCCUUUGAGAGACAGGUCCAAAAUCCAGCCUUUCUCUGGACUUCAUAGUUAGGCCUCAGGGAUAGUACGUGGUGUACCUUAUGUUGUCCAUUAUCCAUACAGAUAUUUCCCCUACACAUAUAUUCACACAGGAGGCUGAAUGGGAUGAUAUCUUUGCACCAUCUUGUUAACCUAGAUUUUUUAUUUUACUACUGUUUAUCUGCUCCCAUGGAAAAUCCACACUGACUCUCAUGGAUCAGGUUCAAAAGCAUAAUUUCCAAGCUCUACAAUCCAUUUCAUCUCCUUCGGUGAGACUGGCAAGAAAAAGAAGUGAUAAAAUGGAGGGUUACAUAUUUAAUGCAGCUUUCAAGAGGAAGUGUAGCUCAAUGUAUACCAGUAUUUUCUGUUAAAAGACUGAGGACUGCCUACAUUUCUUUUUACUGUAUUUCUUGGUGAAUGUCAAACAAGCUUCACAGAUCUGCUAGCCUUUGACUCAUUGUGAUCUUUGACAUCUCAUUGAUAUGGACGGGGUCGUAUGAGCUUAAAACCUGUUCUAAUAAAGUUAGAGAUUGUUGUGGGGAGGAGAAGUACUUGUCUCCAAGGCAAAGUAAUGGUUCAGUGGAGUCCAGUUAAUCAACCAUGCAAUCAUACUAAUAAUAACAGUGCUACUGGUAAUGUGAGCUACUCUUUUGUCUUGAAGUCCUGAUUAAGAUCAGGGCCCUCUUUUAUUACCCAUCCAAAAUUAACUUCCUGAUGGCUUUAUAGUCUGACAAAGAAAGACAGAGUCAAGGUGAGAGACCAAGUCUGUUAUCCCCCUUGGUGCAAAUAGACAAGUGGUAGUCAGAGAGAGAGAUCAAGAAAAACAUCCAGGACUAUACAGGAAUUCUUUGGCAUUGGACUAAGAACUUCAUAUGAUCCCCCUUAAGUCUGAAACAGUCCUUAACUACAAACAUGCUCUCUAUUCCACAGCAAAAGUUAACUGAGAAAUGGAUUGCAGGUACAUUUUAACAGAGGAUUCUUGUGGGGCAGAUGUUAGGGAGCUCUUCUGUAUUGCUUAGAUAUUAGCUGAAGAAUUUUAUCUCACUUAUUGCACCAUCACGUCUCUGUAGACUUAACAGUAAAAAAUAAAUGAAAAAGAGAGGUCAGCAUUGAGUUCUUUAUUCAUUCUAUUAAUUUGACAUGAGAAAUAAAUAUCAACUCUUUCCCCAGCAAAUUAAAUAAAUGCUUUUUGUACUUUGCAUACUGGAUAAGGAAUUUCUGUUAGGGAACUACCUAUGUCAGUAUGUGGUCACUUAUAUAGUUAAGAGACAUGCAUUAAUAUGUAUUUUUGGGCUCUUCUGCUUAUGUAUAUAAUUUUGUAUCAUUAAGAAAUUUCUUGAGAGUUUGUAUAUAUAAAGUAGCAGUGUUUUGGGGUGCUUUUUUUUGUUUAAUUAUGCUCGUAUUUUCCAUUUUACCACUCUCUAAAUGCUUGUUGUCUGUACCUAUGUUUUUGCUGAAUAAGCACUUAUGGAUAGAAGUGCACCACUGUCUGUCAGUGAUUGACAGAAAACAAAGCUUCCAGGCAAUGCAGACAUUGCAUUGACCUCCAGUGGUUGCAGGUGCAGAGUUAUAGUUCUCCUUUGAGUACACUGUCAGUGUUUAUUGAGGUGCAAUGACUUAUUUAGGUGCAGUGAUUCAAUGACUACUGGUUUUAGAACAUCUAGAUCUAAAGCAUAUUUCUUCCCAGCAUAAUGUAUGAAGAAAAGGACCAGAAAAGUUUAAUGUACUACUAUUUCUUUUUUGGCACUUAAGUUCUGCUGACCAGGGACAUUGUAAAUAUUUCUCCAAGUGCAGGGAAUUACCUACAAAGUUCACCAUAAAGCAGUUUCCUUCUGGUCUGAUUAAACCUAAGAAAGGUAUAAGAGGUGGAAAGGUUUAUAGGGUUCACUUGGGCCUCUGAUGUAUCACUGAAUUUGGUCUUGAGUGAAGCCCAAGUUGGUUAGAUCCCAUACUUAUUUAGGAAAUACUGCAUCCAGAUUCUCAACUAAAUCUACAGUCAGGAUGUUAAGAAAAGACAAAAAGUCAAGAGGACUAUCUUCCAGCAGAAGACAGCAAAAAAACAGGAGAAAAAAAUGUCUAUAGAACUGAAGGUCCACUUCCAAAGGAAUUUUGAAAGGCAGAUGUACUUUAUGAGAGUCAUUGUGACUAUAUUCAGUGCCACUGUGCUGUAAGCUUCUUUCCUUCCCUUCAAUGAAUAAACACCUGUUGGAGCUGGUAUUGCGGUUGAACAAUGAUUGUGAAAAUUUUGAGGGUCUUUUGAGGAGAACUUACUGUUCUGUGUAAUCCUCUAUUCUUAGCUCAAGCACAUGACCUGCUGCAAUUAAUCAAGGUCUUCUGAGGAAGCCUAAUGGUAUCAGUCUGGAUGAACAUAUUGAUCCCCUCAACCUUAUAGCCUAUGAACGUUUUGCUUAAUGAGGGUAUGGCAGGUUUAUUUCCUCUCUCUCCAUUUUUAUCUAUAUAGAGGUCUAAUAUAAUGUAGUUGAAAACAAGUAAAUGCUGUAUGAUAGCAAAAUAUAGCAUUUUCUGCUUUUCUGGAUGGAGUAUUAUCAGUGUUAUAGGAACCAUCACUUUCUUUAUCUCAUAAAAAAGCAAGCAGGAUUUCAAAUCUGUGGUCUCUCAUGUCAUGAAUCAUAAAUGAGUAUAUGGUAGAAUGAGGACUCUCCUUUCUGAAAGUGGUAUAAGGUUGCUAUACCCAGAAAAAUAGAGCUAUACAUUGAUACUUAAAUAACAGACACAGAUACUGAAUAUAUGAUUAUUUUUUCAGCUAAAGGGACAUCUGUGGUGGUCAGCAAAUAUGCUGACAUUUACACAGUACCAUAUAUGUUAAGGAGAAUUUGAGGUUACCCUUUUUCACCAAUUCUUUUACCAGACCAUUUGCUAUCAUUAGACAACUGUACUGCUUGUCUGAAGUGGCUGUACUAGCCAGAGUGAAAAAAAAAAACCUCUCCUUUGGGGAACAUGCAGUUUCAAACACCUAAGAAAUGUAGUGGCAUGCUGGUAACAGCCUGUACACAGCUUAUUUCCAGAGAUGAGAACAUGUCUUUCUAUUGCUUUGAUCAUUAAAACUUCAGUAUUCUCCCUUUGCUUAAAAGAAUAAAAACCUCUGAUUUACCUCCAGGAAGCUGAAUCCCAAAGACAGAUGAAAUGUUGAGUGAAGCUAAAACAGACAAAAGAAAGUUCAAGAAGUUUAAGAGCUUAGUUAAGCAGUAAUCCUAAAUAAUUUGCUAUGGAUUUGUUUCAGAUUUUUGUAGUUCUGCUUUUGCAGUAACUUAAUUUGUACCUUUACUCCAAUUUCCCAGAUUCCUGGAAACCAUGCAAGUUGUUAGGAUUUUAACUGUACCAUAUGGAAGAAAGCUGUCUUUCUCAAUGUACUGUAUUUUUAAUUACAGGACAGUACCUAUUUUCUGCUGCACAGAUUUCCUAAUUGUAAAUUUUGAAAUUUCUGUUCUAUGUAAAUAUAAUAUAGGAAACAAAAAUUCCAAUCUGUAAGGCAGUGUUGUAGACAUAGCAGCAUGAAUCAUUGUCCUGAAAUUUAAAUAAACCAAAGACUAAAUUUAUGCUCUAAAAUAAAAAAGAAAAAAGAAAACUCUGACAAAGAAUUGUUCCUACUUUGCAGAUGGGAAAUUGAGUCAAUGCAAGAUUAUGCGAUUUGUUGUGACCACGGUCACGCACGCAACGUGUGGCAACAUUGGUAUUGAAUUGCUUCCUCCUGACUGCCAAGCUUAACAGCAGAAACUUCUUUCUUUUCAUCAUAAUUUCUCUCUUCUUAACUCGUUCAUUUUCUGCUCUGGUGAGUGGAUGCCAUAGGGUGGCAGAAUGCCUGAUUUAUCAAACAUUUUUUGUUGAGAGCAUAUGUCAGACCUAGAGUACUUCCACUACUUUCCCUUUCAGUGAAGCCUCAUCUACAUACCUCCCACACAGCUUUCUAGAAGGGACAGCUGAGCACCAAGCACACCCUCAUUUCUUCUCCCAAUCAUUUUGCUAGACACAUAUGUUUUCAUUUCUAUAGCAGCAGCUCUAAUGUUCAGAUUUUGUCCAUUGCUGGGCAGAUGUUAACACUACAAGGAAGAGUUCCUCUGUGCAACAGUGGGUCUUUUGCUUUGUCUUUAUGAAGUAUUUGGAGUAGGUCACUUGCAUGCCAGUUCUUAAACAGCAUGUAAAGUAAUCUUAGUUAUUUUUGCUGAGAAGAAGGAAGGGGUAAACCGUACUGGAGAGGA